This 408-nucleotide long non-coding RNA is filed under the name Homo sapiens (human). Its description in RNAcentral is "PREDICTED lncRNA (TCONS_00098513)". Lineage: Eukaryota; Metazoa; Chordata; Mammalia; Primates; Hominidae. The record is from RNAcentral.
AGUAUGCUCAUGGGAACCCAGCUGGAAAGUGCUGUGGAAGGACAAAUGGAGAAAAGUCUCCAGAAAUUGGCCUCGUUUGAAAGGACCUCAUGCAAAGAGAGAUCUUUGGAGACAUUUCAGAAAGGUUUUUAUUCAAACAUAUUCGCAGCUUGUAUGACAGUGGAAUGUUUUGAAAUGAGCUUGAUUCUGUUUACCCAUCCUUCUUAAUCCAACAACUCUGCUGGUCUCUCUGCUGACACAAGAUCGUUCGCAGGUUAUAGAAGGAUUUAACACGUCAGUCAGGGAAAUGAAGAGCCACUUUCAACAAUUCUGAAGAAGAAAUAUGGGAUGUUUUGCUUCGGGAUGGAGGCUGGAGCAGGAGUUUCUGGAGUCUGCCAGUACCCAGUUUGAAUCCCAGCUCUGCCUUUU